Molecule: ribosomal RNA, 269 nt
Filed under: uncultured bacterium
Lineage: Bacteria
Description: partial 16S ribosomal RNA
Source: RNAcentral
CUGCUGCCUCCCGUAGGAGUCUGGGCCGUGUCUCAGUCCAGUGUGGGGGCCUUCCUCUCAGAACCCCUACGCAUCGUCGCCUACGGUGGGCCGUUACCCCGCCAACAAGCUAAUGCGACGCAUGACCAUCCGUAGCCGGAAUCGCUUCCUUUAAACCCACAGAGAUGCCUCCAUGGGUUGUUACGCGGUAUUAGACGGAAUUUCUUCCGCUUAUCCCCCUGCUACGGGCAGGUUUCAUACGUGUUACUCACCCGUGCGCCGGUCGCCGG